This 289-nucleotide ribosomal RNA is filed under the name uncultured bacterium. Its description in RNAcentral is "partial 16S ribosomal RNA". It matches the Rfam family "Bacterial small subunit ribosomal RNA", at positions 773 to 1060 of the family's 1533-position model. The record is from RNAcentral.
GUGGAUUAGAUACCCUAGUAGUCCACGCCGUAAACGUUGGGCACUAGGUGUGGGGGGCAUUCCACGUCCUCCGCGCCGCAGCUAACGCAUUAAGUGCCCCGCCUGGGGAGUACGGCCGCAAGGCUAAAACUCAAAGGAAUUGACGGGGGCCCGCACAAGCGGCGGAGCAUGCGGAUUAAUUCGAUGCAACGCGAAGAACCUUACCAAGGCUUGACAUGGGCCGGAUCGUCCCAGAGAUGGGGCUUCCCUUCGGGGCCGGUCCACAGGUGGUGCACGGUCGUCGUCAGCU